RNAcentral lists this ribosomal RNA (292 nucleotides) under uncultured Planctomycetota bacterium. RNAcentral's name for it is "uncultured planctomycete partial 16S ribosomal RNA". The record is from RNAcentral. Lineage: Bacteria; Pseudomonadati; Planctomycetota.
GGACUACCGGGGUUUCUAAUCCCGUUUGCUCCCCUAGCUUUCGCGCCUCAGCGUCAGUAGAGAUCCAGCAGAGCGCUUUCGCCACCGGCGUUCCUUCUGAUAUCAACGCAUUUCACCGCUCCACCAGAAGUUCCCUCUGCCCCUACCUCCCUCGAGCGAACCAGUUUCCAAGGCACUUCCCCAGUUGAGCUGGGGGCUUUCACCCCGGACUUGCUUCGCCGCCUACGCGCCCUUUAAGCCCAGUGAUUCCGAACAACGUUCGCACGGUUCGUCUUACCGCGGCUGCUGGCAC